RNAcentral lists this ribosomal RNA (497 nucleotides) under uncultured bacterium. RNAcentral's name for it is "partial 16S ribosomal RNA". It matches the Rfam family "Bacterial small subunit ribosomal RNA", at positions 28 to 507 of the family's 1533-position model. The record is from RNAcentral.
GAUGAACGCUGGCGGCGUGCCUAAUACAUGCAAGUCGAGCGAACGGACGAGAAGCUUGCUUCUCUGAUGUUAGCGGCGGACGGGUGAGUAACACGUGGAUAACCUACCUAUAAGACUGGGAUAACUUCGGGAAACCGGAGCUAAUACCGGAUAAUAUUUUGAACCGCAUGGUUCAAAAGUAAACGACGGUCUUGCUGUCACUUAUAGACGGAUCCGCGCUGCAUUAGCUAGUUGGUAAGGUAACGGCUUACCAAGGCAACGAUGCAUCGCCGACCUGAGAGGGUGACCGGCCACACUGCAACUGAGACACGGUCCAGACUACUACGGGGGGCAGCAGUAGGGAAUCUUCCGCAAUGGGCGAAAGCCUGGCGGAGCGACGCCACGUGAGUGAUGAAGGUCUUCGGUUCGUAAAACUCUGUUAUUAGGGAAGAACAUAUGUGUAAGUAACUGUGCACAUCUUGACGGUGCCUAAUCAGAAAGCCGCGGCUACCUACGUG